AGAGUUUGAUCAUGGCUCAGAUUGAACGCUGGCGGAAUGCUUUACACAUGCAAGUCGAACGAUGAAGCCUAGCUUGCUAGGUGAAUUAGUGGCGGACGGGUGAGUAAUAUAUCGGAACGUGUCCAUUAAUGGGGGAUAACUAAUCGAAAGGUUAGCUAAUACCGCAUACGCCCUGAGGGGGAAAGCUGGGGAUCUUCGGACCUAGCGUUAAUGGAGCGGCCGAUACCUGAUUAGCUAGUUGGUGGGGUAAAAGCCUACCAAGGCAACGAUCAGUAGCUGGUCUGAGAGGACGACCAGCCACACUGGGACUGAGACACGGCCCAGACUCCUACGGGAGGCAGCAGUGGGGAAUUUUGGACAAUGGGGGCAACCCUGAUCCAGCCAUUCCGCGUGAGUGAAGAAGGCCUUCGGGUUGUAAAGCUCUUUCGCAAGGGAAGAAACGAUAUAGGUUAAUAGCUUAUGUUAAUGACGGUACCUUGACAAGAAGCACCGGCUAACUACGUGCCAGCAGCCGCGGUAAUACGUAGGGUGCAAGCGUUAAUCGGAAUUACUGGGCGUAAAGCGUGCGCAGGCUGUUUUGUAAGUCAGAUGUGAAAUCCCCGAGCUCAACUUGGGAACUGCGUUUGAAACUACAAGACUAGAAUA
Molecule: ribosomal RNA, 645 nt
Filed under: uncultured bacterium
Lineage: Bacteria
Description: bacterial SSU rRNA
Rfam family: Bacterial small subunit ribosomal RNA
Source: RNAcentral